GAUGAAGAACGUAGCGAAAUGCGAUAAGUAAUGCGAAUUGCAGAAUCCGUGAGUCAUCGAAUCUUUGAACGCACAUUGCACCUCUCGGUAUUCCGGGAGGUAUGCCUGUUCGAGCGUCAUUUGUACCCUCAAGCUCUGCUUGGUGUUGGGUGUUUGUUCCGCCUCUGUGUGUGAACUCGCCUCAAAACAAUUGGCAGCCGGCGUACUUGUUUCGGAGCGCAGCACAUUUUGCGAUCCAGAUCAACGUACAGCGGCAUCCAAGAAGCCUUAUUUAACGCUCUUGACCUCGGAUCAGGUAGGGAUACCCGCUGAACUUAAGCAUAUCAAUAAGCGGAGGA
This 338-nucleotide unclassified non-coding RNA is filed under the name soil metagenome. RNAcentral's name for it is "partial contains 5.8S ribosomal RNA, internal transcribed spacer 2, and large subunit ribosomal RNA". The stretch from base 1 to 119 matches the Rfam family "5.8S ribosomal RNA", at positions 35 to 154 of the family's 154-position model. The record is from RNAcentral.